CAGCCGCCACGGUAAUACGGAGGGGGCUAGCGUUGUUCGGAAUUACUGGGCGUAAAGCGCACGUAGGCGGCUUUGUAAGUCAGAGGUGAAAGCCUGGAGCUCAACUCCAGAAUUGCCUUUGAGACUGCAUCGCUUGAACGUCGGAGAGGUGAGUGGAAUUCCGAGUGUAGAGGUGAAAUUCGUAGAUAUUCGGAAGAACACCAGUGGCGAAGGCGGCUCACUGGACGACUGUUGACGCUGAGGUGCGAAAGCGUGGGGAGCAAACAGGAUUAGAGACCCCUGUAGUCCCUGUCUCUUAUAC
RNAcentral lists this ribosomal RNA (301 nucleotides) under uncultured bacterium. RNAcentral describes it as "partial 16S ribosomal RNA". It matches the Rfam family "Bacterial small subunit ribosomal RNA", at positions 509 to 807 of the family's 1533-position model. The record is from RNAcentral.